This 67-nucleotide transfer RNA is filed under the name Schistosoma mansoni. The record is from RNAcentral. Lineage: Eukaryota; Metazoa; Platyhelminthes; Trematoda; Strigeidida; Schistosomatidae.
CAAUAGCUGAGUGGAUAACGUGAUGGCGUUUGAAACGAAAGGUACUGGGUUCGAGUCCCAGAGUGAA